Molecule: ribosomal RNA, 725 nt
Filed under: uncultured Flavobacteriales bacterium
Lineage: Bacteria; Pseudomonadati; Bacteroidota; Flavobacteriia; Flavobacteriales
Description: bacterial SSU rRNA
Rfam family: Bacterial small subunit ribosomal RNA
Source: RNAcentral
AUGAACGCUAGCGAAGGCUUACACAUGCAAGUCGAGGGGUAUUAGUUUUCGGACUAAGAGACCGGCGCACGGGUGCGUGACGCGUAUGCAAUCUACCUUUUACAGAGGGAUAGCCCAGAGAAAUUUGGAUUAAUACCUCAUAGUAUAGCAGUUUCGCGUGAAACCACUAUUAAAGUCACAACGGUAAAAGAUGAGCAUGCGUCCCAUUAGCUAGUUGGUAAGGUAACGGCUUACCAAGGCUACGAUGGGUAGGGGUCCUGAGAGGGAGAUCCCCCACACUGGUACUGAGACACGGACCAGACUCCUACGGGAGGCAGCAGUGAGGAAUAUUGGACAAUGGGCGCAAGCCUGAUCCAGCCAUGCCGCGUGCAGGAUGACGGUCCUAUGGAUUGUAAACUGCUUUUGUACGAGAAGAAACACUCCUAUGUAUAGGAGCUUGACGGUAUCGUAAGAAUAAGGAUCGGCUAACUCCAUGCCAGCAGCCGCGGUAAUACGGAGGAUCCAAGCGUUAUCCGGAAUCAUUGGGUUUAAAGGGUCCGUAGGCGGUUUAGUAAGUCAGUGGUGAAAGCCCAUCGCUCAACGGUGGAACGGCCAUUGAUACUGCUGAACUUGAAUUAUUAGGAAGUAACUAGAAUAUGUAGUGUAGCGGUGAAAUGCUUAGAGAUUACAUGGAAUACCAAUUGCGAAGGCAGGUUACUACUAAUUGAUUGACGCUGAUGGACGAA